GCUGGGCAUGGUGGCUCAUGCCUGUAAUCCCAGCACUUUGGGAGCCGAGGUGGGUGGGUCACUUGAGGCCAGGAGCUCGAGACCAGCCUGGCCAAUGUGGUGAAAACCCAUCUCUA
RNAcentral lists this non-coding RNA (116 nucleotides) under Chlorocebus sabaeus (green monkey). The record is from Rfam by way of RNAcentral. Lineage: Eukaryota; Metazoa; Chordata; Mammalia; Primates; Cercopithecidae.